Molecule: long non-coding RNA, 471 nt
Filed under: Anser brachyrhynchus (Pink-footed goose)
Lineage: Eukaryota; Metazoa; Chordata; Aves; Anseriformes; Anatidae
Description: lncRNA (ENSABRG00000005398.1)
Source: RNAcentral
GCAUUCUCAUUGUACUGAUCUUAGGGAAUCUCACACCACAUUGCCUUUAGAAAGCUAGUGCUGUUGACUGACUGGAAUGUCCAAAGAUGCCUCUUCCCAGCUAAUGCCUUCAAAUGUAGGUUUGCUCUGCUUCAUGUAGAUACUUCAGCAUAAAGAUAAGCAGGAAACUGGGCAGUUCAGCUCCUUCACAUGCCCACCAUCACUGCUCCUUGCCAGAAUACGAGGCUGUGUGUGGAUCUGACGCGGGGCCAGGACUUCAAUAUCUGAAGCAGAGCAGUGACAGAGGAACUGCCACUUCACAGCUCAUCAGCUACAGUCGCACAAAGAGAACGACCCUGGUUUCAGGGCUCUGGUUAAGAGAGAAGAUCAUUUGAAUCAAAGUGCAGGUCUUGCUAUAACACAAGCCCAGGAAAAGCUCGUUUGUGAAGGAUCCACUCCCAUGAGACACCUGCUUCAAAACCACUGCGGUAC